This 253-nucleotide ribosomal RNA is filed under the name uncultured bacterium. RNAcentral's name for it is "partial 16S ribosomal RNA". It matches the Rfam family "Bacterial small subunit ribosomal RNA", at positions 524 to 776 of the family's 1533-position model. The record is from RNAcentral.
UACGUAGGGUCCGAGCGUUGUCCGGAAUUACUGGGCGUAAAGCGCGCGCAGGCGGCCCGCGAGGUGUCACGUGAAAGCCCCGGGCUCAACCCGGGAGGGUCGUGGCAAACCGGCGGGCUUGAGGCCGGUAGAGGUGGGUGGAACUCCUGGUGGAGUGGUGAAAUGCGUAGAGAUCAGGAGGAACACCGGUGGCGAAGGCGGGUCUCUGGGCAGUAACUGACGCUGAGGAGCGAAAGCGUGGGGAGCGAACAGG